CAAAGGCUUGGUCCUGACUUUAUUAUCAGCUUUAACACAACUUACACAUGCAAGUCUCCGCACCCCCGUGAGGAUGCCCUUAAUCCCCUGCCCGGGGACGAGGAGCAGGCAUCAGGCACAAACUAUUGGCCCAAGACGCCUUGCCACGCCACACCCCCAAGGGAAUUCAGCAGUGAUAGACAUUAAGCCAUAAGUGAAAACUUGACCUAAUUAGUGUUAUACUGGGCCGGUAAAACUCGUGCCAGCCACCGCGGUUAUACGAGAGGCCCUAGUUGAUAAACACGGCGUAAGGGGUGGUUAGGGAAGACAAAAAUAAAGCCAAAGAGCCCCUUAGCCGUCAUACGCUCUUGAAGACUUGAAGACCUAAAACGAAAGUAGCUUUAAAACACAUCUGCCUGACCCCACGAAAGCCAAGAAACAAACUGGGAUUAGAUACCCCACUAUGCUUGGCCAUAAACUUAGACGUUUCUCCACAACAAACGUCCGCCCGGGUACUACGAGCGUCAGCUUAAAACCCAAAGGACUUGGCGGUGCCUUAGAUCCCCCUAGAGGAGCCUGUUCUAGAACCGAUAACCCCCGUUAAACCUCACCACUCCUAGUCACCCCCGCCUAUAUACCGCCGUCGUCAGCUUACCCUAUGAAGGCCCCACAGUAAGCAGAGCGGGCACAGCCCAAAACGUCAGGUCGAGGUGUAGCGCAUGAAGUGGGAAGAAAUGGGCUACAUUUUCUUCUUAAAGAAUAACACGAACAGUAACAUGAAAAACCACUUGAAGGAGGAUUUAGAAGUAAAAAGGAAAUAGAGUGUCCUUUUGAACCCGGCUCUGAGGCGCGUACACACCGCCCGUCACUCUCCCCUGUCAAACAGCCGCCGAAGUUAUUAACCCAAAAGCACCGACAAGGGGAGGCAAGUCGUAACAUGGUAAGUGUACCGGAAGGUGCACUUGGAUCAAACAC
RNAcentral lists this non-coding RNA (954 nucleotides) under Ellopostoma mystax (enigmatic loach). Its description in RNAcentral is "12S rRNA". It matches the Rfam family "Bacterial small subunit ribosomal RNA". The record is from RNAcentral. Lineage: Eukaryota; Metazoa; Chordata; Actinopteri; Cypriniformes; Ellopostomatidae.